Molecule: ribosomal RNA, 253 nt
Filed under: uncultured bacterium
Lineage: Bacteria
Description: partial 16S ribosomal RNA
Rfam family: Bacterial small subunit ribosomal RNA
Source: RNAcentral
GACGUAGGGCGCGAGCGUUGUCCGGAUUUAUUGGGCGUAAAGAGCUCGUAGGCGGCUUGUCGCGUCGACCGUGAAAACUUGGGGCUCAACCCCAAGCCUGCGGUCGAUACGGGCAGGCUCGAGUUCGGUAGGGGAGACUGGAAUUCCUGGUGUAGCGGUGAAAUGCGCAGAUAUCAGGAGGAACACCGAUGGCGAAGGCAGGUCUCUGGGCCGUAACUGACGCUGAGGAGCGAAAGCGUGGGGAGCGAACAGG